This is a small nucleolar RNA of Felis catus (domestic cat), 124 nucleotides long. It matches the Rfam family "Small nucleolar RNA SNORA28". From Rfam's summary of the family: ACA28 is a member of the H/ACA class of snoRNA that guide the sites of modification of uridines to pseudouridines. NCBI's taxonomy places the organism in Eukaryota, Metazoa, Chordata, Mammalia, Carnivora, Felidae. The record is from Rfam.
AAGCAACACUCUGUGUCAGAUGAUCGAAGUUGUCUGAUGCAAUUUGAGCUUGCUAUAGCAAGAAAGUCUAACCUAUUCCAGUGGUCUCUUCCAUGAGACCGACUGUUAUAUAGACUUAAACAGC